CCUGGUGGCUAAGACGGUAAAGCGUCUGCCUACAAUGCAGGAGACCCAGGUUCAAUUCCUGGGUCAGGA
Molecule: transfer RNA, 69 nt
Filed under: Ovis aries (sheep)
Lineage: Eukaryota; Metazoa; Chordata; Mammalia; Artiodactyla; Bovidae
Rfam family: tRNA
About the family: Transfer RNA (tRNA) molecules are approximately 80 nucleotides in length.
Source: Rfam by way of RNAcentral